This 213-nucleotide long non-coding RNA is filed under the name Elaeis guineensis (African oil palm). RNAcentral's name for it is "long non-coding RNA (EGUI_LNC019203)". Lineage: Eukaryota; Viridiplantae; Streptophyta; Magnoliopsida; Arecales; Arecaceae. The record is from RNAcentral.
AUACAAACAGACAUGCUAAAGUGCUUCCAUAAGAAGCUGAAUCAUGACUAUAAGAGUUGGAAAGAAGGAAAGAUAUGAAGUGUGAAAAAUGUUAGAAAAUAUGUCUCAAGAUUCAGUCUAUAUUGAGCCUACAGUGAGGUUCAAGAUAAAAAAUGGAGUCCAAUAAACUCAAGAACAGUCUAAACGGAGUUCAGACGGAAAAAAUACGCAUGA